CAGGGUCUCAUGUCGACCGACCUAUGGGAUUAUGCCUCGGUCUUUGGUACGACUCCUCACUUAUCCAAGGCCGAUCGAUUACGAUACGGUCAAAGUCUGAUGACGCAUGCAAUGGUCUUAACGGGGUACGACGAAGACGACU
This 142-nucleotide small RNA is filed under the name Fragilariopsis kerguelensis. RNAcentral describes it as "partial Cyanobacteria transfer-messenger RNA". Lineage: Eukaryota; Bacillariophyta; Bacillariophyceae; Bacillariales; Bacillariaceae. The record is from RNAcentral.